AGCCCUGAGGUGUCCUUACAUAUUAGAUUGCAAAUCUAAAGAAGUAGACUAGCGUCUACCGGGGCUU
RNAcentral lists this transfer RNA (67 nucleotides) under Lutjanus ophuysenii (spotstripe snapper). Its description in RNAcentral is "tRNA-Cys". Lineage: Eukaryota; Metazoa; Chordata; Actinopteri; Lutjaniformes; Lutjanidae. The record is from RNAcentral.